GUCUCCAUAGCUCAGUUGGUCAGAGCGCAGGAUCCAUGACCCUGAGGUCGCCGGUUUCAGCCCGGCUGGGGACA
This is a non-coding RNA of Raphidocelis subcapitata, 74 nucleotides long. The record is from the annotation of a GenBank genome assembly. Lineage: Eukaryota; Viridiplantae; Chlorophyta; Chlorophyceae; Sphaeropleales; Selenastraceae.